GGCAUGGUGGCUCAGUGGUUAGAGCGCCCGCCUCAUGAACGGGAGGUCGUGGGUUCGAACCCCAGCCGAGUCA
Non-coding RNA from Strongylocentrotus purpuratus (purple sea urchin), 73 nucleotides. NCBI's taxonomy places the organism in Eukaryota, Metazoa, Echinodermata, Echinoidea, Camarodonta, Strongylocentrotidae. The record is from Rfam.